UUGCUCCCAGGGGGAGACAGACGGGGGGGGGCCGCGCCGGGGCUCGGGGGGGCUAAGACCGGCGGAGCGCAGGGGCCGCGGUGUCCCGGGCUGCCUUGGACUGUCCCGGGCCAGGGCCACCCCCCGAGUGCCACCAACGGCACUGGGGGCCGGAGAGGCGAUGGAUGCGAUUUUCCCCUCUUUCCCGCUGGAAGAGAAGGAUGUUCUCCUCUGCUGUUUAGAUUUCCUACUAAAGAUGUCAUCGGAAAGUCUGGGAGGGAGCGGGGACCGUGCUCUGCUUCUUCCACAGUAACAACCAUAUUCUGCAUAUUGAAAAAUACAACAAACAGUGGGAAAGGCUGAAACCCCCCGAAAAAAAGGGAGGAAAAAAAUUAAAAAGAAAAAAACCCCCAACCUUUUCAAUAUUGAUUCAACAAAAAAAAAAAGAGAGAAUUUAAAAGAGAAGAAGCAGCACCAGCAGCAAGGAGAAUAUAGGCUCAGCAGCUCUCCAGAUUAUCGGAACCCUUUCAAAACUCACACAACAAAUACAGCCACCGCAUCUAAUGCAUCAUUUACCAGAGCAGAUCUCCGCGUUUGAUCGGCAGAUAGGCAAAAUCUAUGUAUUCCUUGCUUUGCUUAGUAUGCAUGGACGCGGAGCUGCUCUGCAGGCGGUGCCCCCGGCCGGGCCCGGGACACCCCCGAGGCUCUUGGCACACACGGGGUUUGCUGUGGACAUGGUGGAGUGAGGAGAGUGUUCCCUGGCUGUCCCCGAGCCGGGGCAGGGUGGGACAGCACCCCGGCUCGCAACGUGCUGCCGUGCAAUGGGAAUUCGGAGUUGCUCUGCUGAGGAGCUGGUGGAUUUGCAGGGAGAAGGGAAGAAGGAGAGCAUCAUCCUGAGCACCCGCUUGUGCUCGCGCUCACUCUGCACUCACAGUCACGUUCACCCACACCCAGGAGCUGCUCCAGGGGUGGCGAGCUCCCAAAAGCCACUCUUAGGCUCAGCGGUGCCUUAGUCCAGCCCGAGCCCUCGACACUCUCAGGGUCCACCUUGUAAAACCUCCCAGUUUGUGUCCCCCAUAAUCCUGUCAGCCCAGCCAGGCCAUGGGCACAGCAGGGCACCUGUAUUCUCCUUCUUUCCUUCUUCUUUCCUUUUUCUUUCGUCCUCUUCCUUCUUUCCUUCUUUCCUUCUCUCCUUCUCUCCUUCUUUCCUUCUCUCCUUCUCUCCUUCUCUUUCCUUCUUUCCCCUCCAGGUUUUCUGGUUCCUUACUAUCUUUUCUGUUGUGAUUAUUUCCCCCAAAAUAACUCUACACGUCAGUGAAUGGACCCCUGCUCCAGAGCAGCAGAUCCCUGAUCCAGCACAGGGGUGAAUAUCCCCUCGGCUCUCACCCACCCUUCUCUUCCCUGCAGUGCCUCAGCCUGUGCCCAGGUACCAAACAAGGUGGCAUUCCGUUGUGUGCCACUGCAGGCCACUCCUGUGUUCCCAGCGCUGGAUCCCUGGCCCACGGGGGGUGAGGCGCCGGGUUGGGAACAGGACCCCCACCGUGUCCCAGCUCCUCUGCCUGCCCAGCAAUGCUCGUCCCUCCCCGGCCUGCAAAGGGAGAGAAACUCGGGGGAAGUUGGUGGCGAGAGCAGCCCGGCCCUGCCCGUGCUCCAGAGCUUUGCAAAUGUUCAACUUGUACUAAUUUUUUUAUGGCUGUAUUCGCAGUUGUUCCCUGUAAAAAACGGACCUGUGUUAGUUUAUUAAUAACCUAAACAUUACGUAUUAAAGACCUGUGAGUGACACAA
Molecule: long non-coding RNA, 1764 nt
Organism: Strigops habroptila (Kakapo)
Lineage: Eukaryota; Metazoa; Chordata; Aves; Psittaciformes; Psittacidae
Exons: 2
Source: RefSeq, a predicted model, not a curated record